This 75-nucleotide transfer RNA is filed under the name Clostridioides difficile. Its description in RNAcentral is "tRNA-Thr". It matches the Rfam family "tRNA". From Rfam's summary of the family: Transfer RNA (tRNA) molecules are approximately 80 nucleotides in length. The record is from RNAcentral. Lineage: Bacteria; Bacillati; Bacillota; Clostridia; Peptostreptococcales; Peptostreptococcaceae. RNAcentral also lists the same sequence under 1 other name.
GCUGGUGUAGCUCAACGGUAGAGCAGCUGACUUGUAAUCAGCAGGUUGUAGGUUCGAUUCCUAUCACCAGCUCCA